Pygocentrus nattereri (red-bellied piranha) is the source of this 150-nucleotide small nuclear RNA. Its record names the gene U1. It matches the Rfam family "U1 spliceosomal RNA". Rfam says of the family: U1 is a small nuclear RNA (snRNA) component of the spliceosome (involved in pre-mRNA splicing). Its 5' end forms complementary base pairs with the 5' splice junction, thus defining the 5' donor site of an intron. Lineage: Eukaryota; Metazoa; Chordata; Actinopteri; Characiformes; Serrasalmidae. The record is from Ensembl.
AUACUUACCUGGCAGGGGCAAUACCAUGAUCAUGAAGGUGAUUCACCCAGGACGAGGCUCUAACAUUGUGCUUCGGUGAUGCCGACCCUUGUGAAUUCCCCAAAUGCGGGAAUCUCGCCUGUAUAAUUUUUGGGGGCAGUCAUGGGCUGG